GAUGAACGCUGGCGGCGUGCCUAAUACAUGCAAGUCGAGCGAACGGACGAGAAGCUUGCUUUUCUGAUGUUAGCGGCGGACGGGUGAGUAACACGUGGAUAACCUACCUAUAAGACUGGGAUAACUUCGGGAAACCGGAGCUAAUACCGGAUAAUAUUUUGAACCGCAUGGUUCAAAAGUGAAAGACGGUCUUGCUGUCACUUAUAGAUGGAUCCGCGCUGCAUUAGCUAGUUGGUAAGGUAACGGCUUACCAAGGCAACGAUGCGUAGCCGACCUGAGAGGAUGAGCAGCAACACUAGAACUGAGACACGGUCAAGGCUACAACGGGAGGCAGCAGCGGGGAAUAUGGGACAAUGGGCGCAAGCCUGAACCAGCCAACCCGCGUGGGUGAAGAAAGGCUUCGGAUCGUAAACCCCUGUUGGUGGUAAAAAAAAACAGCACGGGAAAACCCCCCGGUUCUGACGGCACCCAAAUAAAAAGCACCGGCUAACUUCGUG
RNAcentral lists this ribosomal RNA (497 nucleotides) under uncultured bacterium. RNAcentral's name for it is "partial 16S ribosomal RNA". It matches the Rfam family "Bacterial small subunit ribosomal RNA", at positions 28 to 507 of the family's 1533-position model. The record is from RNAcentral.